RNAcentral lists this ribosomal RNA (590 nucleotides) under uncultured bacterium. RNAcentral describes it as "bacterial SSU rRNA". It matches the Rfam family "Bacterial small subunit ribosomal RNA", at positions 336 to 917 of the family's 1533-position model. The record is from RNAcentral.
CUCCUACGGGAGGCAGCAGUGGGGAAUUUUGGACAAUGGGGGCAACCCUGAUCCAGCCAUUCCGCGUGAGUGAAGAAGGCCUUCGGGUUGUAAAGCUCUUUCAGCCGGAACGAAACGGUACGCCCUAAUACGGUGUGCUAAUGACGGUACCGGCAGAAGAAGCACCGGCUAACUACGUGCCAGCAGCCGCGGUAAUACGUAGGGUGCGAGCGUUAAUCGGAAUUACUGGGCGUAAAGCGUGCGCAGGCGGAUUGUUAAGCAAGAUGUGAAAUCCCCGGGCUUAACCUGGGAAUGGCAUUUUGAACUGGCAGUCUAGAGUGUGUCAGAGGGGGGUGGAAUUCCACGUGUAGCAGUGAAAUGCGUAGAUAUGUGGAGGAACACCAAUGGCGAAGGCAGCCCCCUGGGAUAACACUGACGCUCAUGUACGAAAGCGUGGGUAGCAAACAGGAUUAGAUACCCUGGUAGUCCACGCCCUAAACGAUGUCAACUGGUUGUUGGGGGAGUGAAAUCCCUUAGUAACGAAGCUAACGCGUGAAGUUGACCGCCUGGGGAGUACGGUCGCAAGAUUAAAACUCAAAGGAAUUGACGGA